Molecule: long non-coding RNA, 789 nt
Organism: Lotus japonicus
Lineage: Eukaryota; Viridiplantae; Streptophyta; Magnoliopsida; Fabales; Fabaceae
Exons: 2
Source: RefSeq, a predicted model, not a curated record
ACUCUGCAAUUUUCGUAAAGUUUAUAAUCUUGAGAAGCUACCUUGGUCAAAUAGGUUCUCACAUGUUCUGAAGCUCCUAUAUAAGUAUUUCCAAAUGUCCAAGGGUUUGUGCGUUCUGAUCUGUAUCACAAAUUUUUAUAAGAGUUUAUUCGUUUAUAGUUCAAUCUCUGAACUGCUGAUACAUUUUAUUGCUUGGUUGCAGAUUUUGUUACCAAUAUAAGAAGUUUGUUGAAUUAUCUAACUUCUAACGUGCAAACAGACCGGGUGAUUUUGAGUGCAAGGAAUACAACAUCACUAAUUUUGGCUGGAAAAUACAAUUUUGAGUUGUUUGGAUCAAUCAUGAAAAUAAGGGGAAAAGGUAAACCAUACUGAGACAGGGUUGUUUCAUAAAUCAUCCCUCACAUGCGAUGAAAAUGGGCUAAGAGCAGGAAAAGUAACAUUCCUAUUAUACCCUUCUUCUUCUCCAUCUUUGCAACCGAUAUGGGGAGAAAUUUGGAGGUGACAGUGGAAAUCUGUUCAUCUUCUCCGGCAUGCUCAACCAUGUCAGCAGUGGUGGUGGUGGCAGUGUAGAGCAUGGCGGUGAAGGCGGUGGUGAUGGGGGCAGUGGAGGGUGGCGGUUGAUUAAAAGUAGCCUUAUACAUCACAACUCUAUCACGCUUGAUCCAUUAUUUAUUGGGUGGAUUGAAUAAUCCAUAAUUUUAAUGUAUAAGAGUGAUUGAUUGAUAAACUUACACAAUACAAUGUUUGCACCAAACAAUGUAUAAAUCUAUAAUGUAUUGUAUAAGCCUA